AUGCGGAUCCUUUUUUUCCCUUCUGCAUUUCCUUGCUCUGUCUCUCUUCUAUAUUUGCCAGUGUUUUGGCCUCGCGCUAUGGAAUUAAUUGAGUCCUGCCCCUGGAGGCUCACCUUCCCCACCGACCGACCGCACACAGGAGUGAUACCCUGGGAUGUUUCUGUGAACGAAAGCGGGCAAGUCUUGCUUCCAGGAGUCUCAGCUUCUUUGCACCUUUUUCUGCAAAGCAUGCUUUUUGGGCUUCGUGGUGGGUCAUCUCUGCACCCUUCUGCGCCAGCAAGUGAGCAGACAUCAGCCAUGAGUGUGACACUGCCAACAGCAGGACAGCUUGUCUUCACCCUUUUCAUCCCCAGACAGCAAUGUGUGAAGGCUGUAGUAGAGUGAUAAAGUGUUUCCCAAAGGGUCAGUAGUGGCUGUCUGCAUCACAAAGUAUCAUUACAACACCUCUUUAUGUAAUGUACGGUAUGUAUUUCAGAAGACCUCUAUUAGCUAAAGUGCUAUGUAUGUGAAGAUAAAUGAUAAUUUAAUAGGAAAGGAGCAUAUUGCUUGAAUCAUGCUGCUCACAGUUCAAUAUUAAACGGCAUCAUAGAUCUACUGUAUGUUAGGUUCACCUCAGGUCUGAAUUAAAACUCUGCAGCUUUAUGCUUGUAGUUAAAUUUAUACCAAUUUCAGACUAUCAAUAACUACAGAACCAGAAAGAAACGUGAAUAGGAAGUACACUAAAAGAAAGAUUUCUAUCAUCUUAAUUCUAUGAAUUUGUGGUUAUUAUCUGAACAUCUUAAAUUUCGCUUUAGAGUUCCACUUAGGUAUUUACUUUAACUUGUUGUGCAAAGCAUGUGGAUAUCAGUAGUUUGAUUAAAGGAGAAAGAGGCAUUAACCCAAACUUUAAUGACCAAGACUACUUGGUCAUUAAAGAACUCAUGGCAUCAUUGGAAUGUUAAUCCUGUUGUCCUUGUCCUGGCUAAUUCUACUUAGGGACUGCACAAUUCCCUAAAACACAGUUGGUGAACAGUUUCUCUCUUCUCUAUCUGAUCUGCUGCACAUUGGAGCUGCUGACACACAAUGGCUGCCACUUGUCACCCAGGUGGGUGCAGAGCUUCUCUCUUUGGUUCAGUACUAUAUGUGAAGCAUUUUGGGUUUAAAGAAUGUUCAUUUAAUGGGGCAUAUUUUAUGCCUUUAUUUACCCAAAAUAACAAACGUUAUUCCCCAAAAUUCGCUGCAGGAUUAGGUGUUUCCAAGCCUGUGUCUGGCUCCAGGGUGAGAGAGCCUGUUCAUUUGACUGAUAAAGCAUGGAUGCAGAGGAAAAUAAAUAUUUCUAUAUAUAAUACACACAUCUGUGUAUCUAGGUGCUUCUGCACUGUAGUAAUUAGAUCAUGCAGGAUAGUGAACUUGUUUUUAGGCAAAGGAUGUACAGUUUAGAUGAUUUUUUCAGACUCUGUUUCACUGGCUGGAUUAUAAAGUUCACUGGCGGCCAAAAGGAAAAUUGACUUUUCCCAGGCUUCAAGUGAGAUAGAUGGCCAUUAUUUGAAAGCCGCCUCAUCAGUAUAAUCACCUGAAUAUUACAUCUGCUUCCAUGACCACUGAUUCUUAUAUCUUAUAUCUGUAUUUUUUUGUAGCUAUGAAGUCACCCUGACAGCAUGGGAUUCAUUGUACUGUAAAUAUUUGUUUCAAAUGCAGUGUAUUUUAUUUGACUGAAACGGUACAGAUGAAGUGUUUAAAGAUGAUUCCUACUGAUGAGUAGUAAAAAUAAAAAGAUACUUUUUAUUCCUGUU
RNAcentral lists this long non-coding RNA (1772 nucleotides) under Lepisosteus oculatus (spotted gar). RNAcentral describes it as "lncRNA (ENSLOCG00000021107.1)". Lineage: Eukaryota; Metazoa; Chordata; Actinopteri; Semionotiformes; Lepisosteidae. The record is from RNAcentral.